AACUGAUACUACCUGCGGGAACCUGCGGAAGGAUCAUUACCGAGUGUAGGGCUCCCCCCUCCCGAGGGGGAAAGCCCAAACCUCCCACCCGUGUCUACUGUACCUUCGUUGCUUCGGCGGGCCCGCCGUCUCCCCCCCUCCCGGGGGGGCCCGGCCGCCGGGGGGCACCUUCGCCCCCGGGCCCGCGCCCGCCGGAGACACAUGAACUCUGUCUGAUCUAGUGGAGUCUGAGUUGAUUGU
RNAcentral lists this unclassified non-coding RNA (240 nucleotides) under soil metagenome. RNAcentral describes it as "partial contains 5.8S ribosomal RNA, internal transcribed spacer 2, and large subunit ribosomal RNA". The record is from RNAcentral.